Small nucleolar RNA from Cheilinus undulatus (humphead wrasse), 67 nucleotides. RefSeq annotates it as small nucleolar RNA SNORD58. NCBI's taxonomy places the organism in Eukaryota, Metazoa, Chordata, Actinopteri, Labriformes, Labridae. The record is from RefSeq and is a predicted model, not a curated record. The transcript has a single exon.
CUGCUGUGAUGACCAUCUUAGGACACCUUUAGAUUAAACAUGAAACAAACCUUUGAAUCUGAGCGGU